Molecule: long non-coding RNA, 1054 nt
Organism: Daphnia pulex (common water flea)
Lineage: Eukaryota; Metazoa; Arthropoda; Branchiopoda; Diplostraca; Daphniidae
Exons: 5
Source: RefSeq, a predicted model, not a curated record
GCAGUGAAAUAAUUUCAAAAAGGCCGACUGUUCUUCAAAUGGUUCGAAAUGGAAGAUUUAUUCGUUUAACGAAGAAACGAGUCAAAUUACUCAAAUGUCUAUUGACCCAUUCCAAUCCCUAGCAACGUUAACCUGCAGAAGGAAAGGCCAGUUUACAUGUCCUUCACACUCGAAGGUCACAGAGAUUAUUAUGUAAAAGACCCAUCCCCAGCAAAGUCAACCUGCAAAAGGAAGGGAGCGUCCGCAUGUCCUUCACACUAGUAGGUCACGGAGAUCAUUACGAAAAACGUGUAGAGACCCACCCCCAGCAACCUGCAGAAGGAAAGGCCAGUAACACACUCGAAGGUCACGGAGAUCUUUACGUAAAACGUGUCAUGCAGUGGUGUAGAGGUUGGGUGAGAACGACACGUGUAGCAUCAUUAUCAAGCAGGUAGAACACCCGCAAGGCUUUAGAGGUAAGGGUGAGAAAAAAAAUCGUAUAAAAGGAGAGAGAAAAGGCGAAGGAAAGUCAGUCGAGUGAGCAUCUCCGACACGUCAACAACUGCAGCGCACUCACCAUCUGCCUUCUUCACCGUAUUCCCAGUUCGCAAUCAUGGUGAUGCUGAUGUCAAUUACUGUCAACUAAGGUGUCGUAUGCUGUUGGGUGUUGUAUCGUUGACGACUGGGUCGACCACUGGUGUACCGAUGUCUCCUGGUUAUGGCGGAACCGCAACACCGACGCCUUACUACACAACAACAACAUACGCAACAAUCGAUUCCUACACCACCAAGGCUCAAGAGUGUUACACCACAAUUCAUGAUGCCCCGAGCUGCUACACCGAAUCCCGAAGUAUAACUCUGCCCCGAGUUACAUCACCAGAGAGCCGUAUUACUACACCGAGGUUCCCAAGUACUACAUCACUGAGGCAGCGGAAUACUACACGUAUAUGCAUGCUACCCCUGACUACUACACCGAGGCAUACAACACCGAAGAGCUCAAGUACUACACUACAAGCUACGCUGCCCCGAGCUACUACACCGACGUCCCGAAGUAAAAGGAGUCGUCUAAAAAAAA